AUUGAACGCUGGCGGCAGGCCUAACACAUGCAAGUCGAGCGGAUGAAGGGAGCUUGCUCCUGGAUUCAGCGGCGGACGGGUGAGUAAUGCCUAGGAAUCUGCCUGGUAGUGGGGGAUAACGUCCGGAAACGGGCGCUAAUACCGCAUACGUCCUGAGGGAGAAAGUGGGGGAUCUUCGGACCUCACGCUAUCAGAUGAGCCUAGGUCGGAUUAGCUAGUUGGUGGGGUAAAGGCCUACCAAGGCGACGAUCCGUAACUGGUCUGAGAGGAUGAUCAGUCACACUGGAACUGAGACACGGUCCAGACUCCUACGGGAGGCAGCAGUGGGGAAUAUUGGACAAUGGGCGAAAGCCUGAUCCAGCCAUGCCGCGUGUGUGAAGAAGGUCUUCGGAUUGUAAAGCACUUUAAGUUGGGAGGAAGGGCAGUAAGUUAAUACCUUGCUGUUUUGACGGUACCAACAGAAUAAGCACCGGCUAACUUCGCG
RNAcentral lists this ribosomal RNA (484 nucleotides) under uncultured bacterium. RNAcentral's name for it is "partial 16S ribosomal RNA". It matches the Rfam family "Bacterial small subunit ribosomal RNA", at positions 30 to 507 of the family's 1533-position model. The record is from RNAcentral.